GAUGAACGCUGGCGGCGUGCCUAAUACAUGCAAGUCGAGCGAACGGACGAGAAGCUUGCUUCUCUGAUGUUAGCGGCGGACGGGUGAGUAACACGUGGAUAACCUACCUAUAAGACUGGGAUAACUUCGGGAAACCGGAGCUAAUACCGGAUAAUAUUUUGAACCGCAUGGUUCAAAAGUGAAAGACGGUCUUGCUGUCACUUAUAGAUGGAUCCGCGCUGCAUUAGCUAGUUGGUAAGGUAACGGCUUACCAAGGCAACGAUGCAUAGCCGACCUGAGAGGGUGAUCGGCCACACUGGAACUGAGACACGGUCCCGACUCCUACGGGAGGCAGCGGUAGGGAAUCUUCCGCAAUGGGCGAAAGCCUGACGGAGCAACGCCGCGUGAGUGAUGAAGGUCUUCGGAUCGUAAAACUCUGUUAUUAGGGAAGAACAUAUGUGUAAGUAACUGUGCACAUCUUGACGGUACCUAAUCAGAAAGCCACGGCUAACUCCGUG
Molecule: ribosomal RNA, 497 nt
Filed under: uncultured bacterium
Lineage: Bacteria
Description: partial 16S ribosomal RNA
Rfam family: Bacterial small subunit ribosomal RNA
Source: RNAcentral